UACGGGGGGGGCAAGCGUUGUUCGGAAUUACUGGGCGUAAAGGGCUCGUAGGCGGCCAACUAAGUCAGACGUGAAAUCCCUCGGCUUAACCGGGGAACUGCGUCUGAUACUGGAUGGCUUGAGUUUGGGAGAGGGAUGCGGAAUUCCAGGUGUAGCGGUGAAAUGCGUAGAUAUCUGGAGGAAUACCGGUGGCGAAGGCGGCAUCCUGGACCAUAACUGACGCUGAGGCGCGAAAGCUAGGGGAGCAAACGGG
Molecule: ribosomal RNA, 253 nt
Filed under: uncultured bacterium
Lineage: Bacteria
Description: partial 16S ribosomal RNA
Rfam family: Bacterial small subunit ribosomal RNA
Source: RNAcentral